Long non-coding RNA from Chinchilla lanigera (long-tailed chinchilla), 1669 nucleotides. RefSeq lists it as uncharacterized. The record is from RefSeq and is a predicted model, not a curated record. NCBI's taxonomy places the organism in Eukaryota, Metazoa, Chordata, Mammalia, Rodentia, Chinchillidae. The transcript is spliced from 6 exons.
CGCCCCGCGGACGCCGCGCCGACCUCUCCUGCCGCGCGGACUGGCGCGGGACUAACGGUGAGCGCCCGCGCGGCCCGUCGCCCGUUUGUCUGUCCGGUUGCGGACCCUUAAGAUGUUUCCAUCGGAAAUGUUGUUUCUGAUUUCUGCUUUGUGAAACUUGGGCACUUACAAUAAUCGCAGCGCUCUGUGCAAUAUUUACUAUCUCCUCCAAACCUUACUUUUUUUUUUGAGGCGAGGUCUCGCGGAACCCGCGAAGUUGCCCGGGUUGGGCUCAAACUUGAGAUCGCGGUCUCAGCCUCCCGAGAGCGGGGGUCCCGGACGUGCACCCCCGCGCCGGGCUUCUGCUACGUGCCCUGCUCGCGUCGCUGCGUUCCUGACGCUGAACCCGGGGCCUGGAACUUGAGAUAACAACUUGUCCAGCAACACAGCCAGCAAAGGAUGAAGCUAGAACUUGUCAGACUUCUCUGAUGUCCAAGUCCACGCUCUCCAAGGAAGGUACGGAGAAGAAGGCCUUUGCCAGACCAAUAGCUGCACACCAAACACCAGGAGAUGUGUUAAUCUGCUCAAACAAGGAACCCACAGCCGGUACUGCAGCUGCAAUCAGAGUCACCACUUGGUUCAGCUUACGGGAACACCGCGGCUGAUCAGCCUGCGUGUGGCAGAUUACUCUGGUCAUUGUUCUGCGUCUGCUGUCCAUUGUGGUGUUAGCGAAGGGUUAUUCCACUGUGGAAGAUGAGGUUUAACGUGACAGAUCCGCUCCAGCAUUCCCGUUUCCCUGAGCCUCUGAGUCCCCUCCUCAACGAGCCACUCCUGGUACCCAAAUGUGUAUCAGUGUUUCACAGGAGAAACGGAUAUAACACAAGAAAUAGAAAUGUGUAAGAAGCUACAGGAUUGGCUUACGAUGGUCGCCCACAGAGUCGGAUAAGAAGCGUGCAGAGGGUGUCUGCGUACUGGAGACCGACGGUGUCAGUCCGAGGCCUGGAGCUCACCACGUUGUCCCCCGCAAGUCCGAAUCAGGAGGCCGAUGGGUCUGUGAGGGAAAGCUGAACAGCCUGCCCUGGAAGCCAGGAGCUGAGGUCCGAGCUGAAGGCAAAGGCUGGAGCUCCUCUGAAGAACACAAGCAGCUCCCUCUUCCUCACUUCCCCUUUAUACCACCCGGGUGAGGAGCCUCGGGGGAAGCGUGGUUGAGCUGAUUUAGUUAAGCUGCUUUCUAAGCUGCUCAAGUUGACACAGUUGAUCGUCACCACACUUCCAGUCUCCUGCCCUGCGGCCCCCUGUCCUUCUCCCCCAGGCAACCGAGUGAGCUAGAAAGCCUCUUCCCCCAGGUGAGUCACAGAACCAGAGCUCUUUUCUCCCCACGCCAGUCAUAAACCCUGAGGCUGUUACUCCAGCUUCCCCUGCCUGUCUGUGUGGAAACUGGCCAUGAAGACAUUCCUGCCUCAUACUCAUAAGAAGACAUGCUGUAACUGAGGGGCCAGAAACGCUGGGUUUCCCACGCCAUCUACCUCCAUUCACUCACACCCUCUUUUAUCCAAUCACAUUUGCACAGGGCAACCCAGGCUUCAUCAAACCUAAGCAUGACGUGGGUCCUUCACACUGGGUCUCUGCGUCUUCAACCUGGAGUUCUGUGGUCAUGUCAAACUAUGCUAGAAUAAAUAUGUUCUGUUAA